GAAAGUUGUGUCUGAAGUCUGAAGUAUGAAUAAUGAGAAAUGAAAACUGCUUGACAAAGUGUGAAAUUUUUUUGAACGUUGUCGUAAUAUGAGUGAGUUGAAGAGACAUUUUUAAGAUCAGUUUCCAGCUCCUCUACACUCUAGAGCUAAACAUCAGUGUGAGAAAGUCUGAAAUAGUUCACUUCAAACAAAGUUGAAUAUUUUGAAGUUUUGAUGGGAUUCGAAAGUUGAAUGACACCUUGAAUGUCUGAAAGAUCUGGAAUAUUUUAAGUUAAGAUGUCUGCUGUGAGACAGGCCUCCUGCACUUGGGGACGUGGUUGAUGACACAGAUAGGUGAUGUUGUUAGUAGCCAUAGACUGUCUACAAAAUUGGACGUAGUCACUGUGCAUAGAAAGUGAAUCCAAUGCAGAAAAGCCUGAAACCUGCAUUCUAUGGAAUCUCCAGCAGAGGGCGACUCCACUGGUUGCAAGAAGGAACUUCCCUCAAUCUGCUCCGCUGCAGGACGUGCUGGGACACGGCCCAAACAGAACGCUGACAGAGACCGAAUCGUUUACCGUCACGCUUGUUAACUCUGCAUUCAGAGGCUGGAAGAGGUGGCGUGACUCUUUUGUGAGGCGAAAAGAGUUUGAGAGAAAUGGCAAAACUUGAUGACUGGUCUGUCAUGUUGCAUUCGGCCCUUUUGAGUACCACGCUACAAACUCAGAAACUCAAAGGGAUCGGAAAUAUAAACGUACAUGAUUUUAGCUUUAUAAAUUAAAUGAAUUAUUUAUGUUACGUUCAAGCUUCCUUCAGGUUAGCUGCCUCUGAUUGGUUUCUGUAUAGGUGGCAGCAGAAAAGAAGAAAAACAACCAGAAACCAAAAAUCCAGACUUUCUCUCUUGUGGAAUAUUAAAAACCAGAAUGUGUUGAGGAGAAAGAUCAACAAACCGAAUCCACAGUGGAACUUCAUUAAUACUGCAAGUGCGAGGUUCUGGAAAUUGAACUGCAUGGUAAUUGUCUCCAAAGUUUGAGUGACAUAUUUUCCAAAUGCUUGACACAUUGAUUUUUACUUUGCAUGGCCUUAAAAAAAACACCUCCUCCAAUACAAAAGCUGCUGCUGUGUAUUCAUCUCAGGUUUUACACAAAAUUAAUUUCAUAUAGAGAAAAAGGAGGAACAACUGAUGGCAAAACAUUGGAUCUGUGACUCGCUUACAUCUGCUAUUUCAGUUGAACUAUAACUAAAUAUCUUUGUCUU
Long non-coding RNA from Scophthalmus maximus (turbot), 1233 nucleotides. RefSeq lists it as uncharacterized. The transcript is spliced from 3 exons. The record is from RefSeq and is a predicted model, not a curated record. Lineage: Eukaryota; Metazoa; Chordata; Actinopteri; Pleuronectiformes; Scophthalmidae.